UUUAUGGGCUCAGAAGUGGGGUGAUCUUCCACCGACCCUGCGAAAUGGCGCAAGUAUUGGUCUGACCAAAAAAGGCAUGCCAGAGAGAGGGAGGUGCUGCGAAGGUCAACGCUGGAGAAAAGUGGACGCAAUGGGCUUGGGCAUUUAAAGGAAGCGUUCGAUUUCGAAAAAAGGGCGCUUCAACUCAUGGUCCCAGCAGUCGUCACAGAAAACAACAAGAAAUGCUAAAUCUGACGAGAAGGCGACUUAAUGGGUAUAGUAUAGGCCCAGCUAAGUUUAAAAUACACAAUGAACCAUAAUUGUGCAUACGGCCAUAAAAAGGGGGUUUAACUUUACAGAAUGCCUCGCUUCACGGCCACCCGCACUAAGACCGAGAAACGGGUCGAUCAUUUUAAGAUUCCCUGUCGGUUGUGCGGUAACAACCACGGAGUACGACUCUGCCCCAUAUACCGAGGGAAAUCCGCCGAGGAAAGGUUGCGGGCGAUUUUGAUACAUCGGUACUGUCCCAACUGUUUGUCGCCAUUCCAUCGGAUAGAAAUAUGUGGAAGCAAUGACCGAUGCCACCGCUGCGACGAAAAGCACCAUACCCCCCUGCAUAUUGAAGACUAGGGCGAUCCAAGGGAAACGACGGCUCUGACGGAGCGAUUUCGCUCCACGUGUCCGACCAAACGACGUCAUGGGCGAAGCAGGUAGAGGAAGAAGAGGUGGAAAGACGGGAAGAGAUAAUCCCUCCACCACCAGACGGCGGCUUGAAAACCCGCAAUUUUCGACCGCCGCUACAGCACGAACUUGAAGCAGACAGUCCCAUGCCAGCAGUGCUGUCACACACACAGCCAACGGGCGGUCAACGAGAUGACGCGGAAACUAGUCCUUUUCGCUCAUAUCGGCGCGGAACCAAUUCUGGCCACCGAGAUGACGCGGAAACUCUUCCUUUUCGCUCAUUUUGGCGCACGCGUAAUUGCAGCCAGCGUGAUGGCGCGGAAACUCGUCCUUUUCGCUCGUCGCGCUGGCAAGCAAUAAGGGCCGCACGACACCGACGUGGCGACCGUUCCUCCCUCACCAUCCAACGCAUUCCAUCGCGUGGAUUCCGGACAGGCAAGUUAAAAACAAUCGCGGUUCCAGCACCAAUAAUGCGUUCAUUCGUAGCCAUCGCCCCAACCACAAUUGUACGGAUCGAGUCAGGCGGCCGACUUCAUCUGGUGCGGGCGUUGAUUGACUCUUGCGCCCCCAGCAGUACCAUCGACAGGGACCUAGCACGGGAGCUUCAGCUCGAAGCCAGCAACGCCCGCGCGAAAACAUGUUCCCCCGUGCUGCGAGGGAAGUACGGGGUCGCGGAACGGGUAAAUACUCAGGCCAGGCUAGUUACGCGAUACAACCGACUCAGCCCCGCGGCUAACAUCGACCCAACGAUAGCGACGCCGUUUCAAUUUAUGCGUCUGGCGGAUCCACAGUUCUAUCGGGCCACCCCCACUCGACUAACACUUGGCGUUGAUGUGUACGCCCAGGU
This is a long non-coding RNA of Rhagoletis zephyria (snowberry fruit fly), 1507 nucleotides long. RefSeq lists it as uncharacterized. The record is from RefSeq and is a predicted model, not a curated record. NCBI's taxonomy places the organism in Eukaryota, Metazoa, Arthropoda, Insecta, Diptera, Tephritidae.